AACGAACGCUGGAGGCAUGCCUAACACAUGCAAGUCGAACGAGACCUUCGGGUCUAGUGGCGCACGGGUGCGUAACGCGUGGGAAUCUACCCUUGGGUUCGGAAUAACAGUUAGAAAUGACUGCUAAUACCGGAUGAUGACGUAAGUCCAAAGAUUUAUCGCCCAAGGAUGAACCCGCGUAAGAUUAGCAUGUUGGUGGGGUAAUGGCCUACCAAGGCGACGAUCUUUAGCUGGUCUGAGAGGAUGAUCAGCCACACUGGGACUGAGACACGGCCCAGACUCCUACGGGAGGCAGCAGUGGGGAAUAUUGGACAAUGGGCGAAAGCCUGAUCCAGCAAUGCCGCGUGAGUGAUGAAGGCCUUAGGGUUGUAAAGCUCUUUUACCAGGGAUGAUAAUGACAGUACCUGGAGAAUAAGCUCCGGCUAACUCCGUGCCAGCCGCCGCCGUAA
Molecule: ribosomal RNA, 449 nt
Filed under: uncultured bacterium
Lineage: Bacteria
Description: partial 16S ribosomal RNA
Rfam family: Bacterial small subunit ribosomal RNA
Source: RNAcentral